RNAcentral lists this transfer RNA (76 nucleotides) under Opitutus sp. RNAcentral describes it as "tRNA-Thr". It matches the Rfam family "tRNA". Rfam says of the family: Transfer RNA (tRNA) molecules are approximately 80 nucleotides in length. RNAcentral also lists the same sequence under 9 other names. The record is from RNAcentral. Lineage: Bacteria; Pseudomonadati; Verrucomicrobiota; Opitutia; Opitutales; Opitutaceae.
GCCCAGAUAGCUCAGUUGGCAGAGCACGUCCUUGGUAAGGACGAGGUCGCCGGUUCGAAUCCGGUUCUGGGCUCCA